CUGCGGUGCCACGCCGGGGUAUUGGGCAACGUGGCGGGCAGUUUGUGCUUGAGGACGUGGCGGACGGCUUCCUGGUCAGUGGCAGUUGGGUACUGGGCCUUGUAUUCCAGCAGCGCAGACUCCAUGACGGCCUGCAGUGGGUGGACGACAGGCGUCGGGGUGCCGUACAUGCAAGAACAUGUGAUGUGCAUGAUGCAGCGUGGCAUUGGUUUGCAGCCCACCCACCUCAACACGGGGAUCCUGUAGCCGCGCACUUUGCCGCAGAACAUACAUGAGCAAGAGGUACGGCUUGCACAACGUCCACACACUGAACAGGCACUUUGCACGAUAGGCCAAGUACUUC
RNAcentral lists this long non-coding RNA (343 nucleotides) under Volvox carteri. RNAcentral's name for it is "long non-coding RNA (VCAR_LNC003444)". The record is from RNAcentral. Lineage: Eukaryota; Viridiplantae; Chlorophyta; Chlorophyceae; Chlamydomonadales; Volvocaceae.